GAUGAACGCUGGCGGCGUGCCUAAUACAUGCAAGUCGAGCGAACAGACGCGGAGCUUGCUCCUCUGACGUUAGCGGCGGACGGGUGAGUAACACGUGGAUAACCUACCUAUAAGACUGGGAUAACUUCGGGAAACCGGCGCUAAUCCCGGAUAACAUGCUGAACCGUAUGGUUCAACAGUGAAAGACGGUGUUGCUGUCACUAAUAGAUGGAUAUGCGUCGCAUUAGCUAGUUGGUAAGGUAACGGCUUAUCACGGCAAGGAUGCGUGGCCGACUUGAGAGGGUGAUCGGCCACACUGGAGCUGGAACACGGUCCAGAGUCCUACGGGAGGCAGCAGUAGGGAAUCUGCCGCAAUGGGCGAGAGCCUGGCGCAGCAACGCCGCGUGAGAGAAGAAGGUCUUGGGAGCGUAAAACUCUGUUAUUAGGGGAGAACAAAUGUGGAAGUAACUAUGCACGUCUUGACGGUACCGAAUCAGAAAGCCACGGCUAACUACGUG
Molecule: ribosomal RNA, 497 nt
Filed under: uncultured bacterium
Lineage: Bacteria
Description: partial 16S ribosomal RNA
Rfam family: Bacterial small subunit ribosomal RNA
Source: RNAcentral